Molecule: ribosomal RNA, 835 nt
Filed under: uncultured fungus
Lineage: Eukaryota; Fungi
Description: SSU rRNA
Rfam family: Eukaryotic small subunit ribosomal RNA
Source: RNAcentral
GUGCCAGCAGCCGCGGUAAUUCCAGCUCCAAUAGCGUAUAUUAAAGUUGUUGUGGUUAAAAAGCUCGUAGUUGAACCUUGGGCCUGGCUGGCCGGUCCGCCUCACCGCGUGCACUGGUCCGGCCGGGCCUUUCCCUCUGUGGAACCCCAUACCCUUCACUGGGCGUGGCGGGGAAACAGGACAUUUACUUUGAAAAAAUUAGAGUGCUCCAGGCAGGCCUAUGCUCGAAUACAUUAGCAUGGAAUAAUAAAAUAGGAUGCGCGGUUCUAUUUUGUUGGUUUAUAGGACCGCCGUAAUGAUUAAUAGGGACAGUCGGGGGCAUCAGUAUUCAACUGUCAGAGGUGGAAUUCUUGGAUCAGUUGAAGACUAACUACUGCGAAAGCAUUUGCCAAGGAUGUUUUCAUUAAUCAGGAACGAAAGUUAGGGGAUCGAAGACGAUCAGAUACCGUCGUAGUCUUAACCAUAAACUAUGCCGACUAGGGAUCGGACGGUGUUAUUCAUGACCCGUUCGGCACCUUACGAGAAAUCAAAGUGCUUGGGCUCCAGGGGGAGUAUGGUCGCAGGGCUGAAACUUAAAGAAAUUGACGGAAGGGCACCACCAGGGGUGGAGCCUGCGGCUUAAUUUGACUCAACACGGGGAAACUCACCAGGUCCAGACACAAUAAGGAUUGACAGAUUGAGAGCUCUUUCUUGAUUUUGUGGGUGGUGGUGCAUGGCCGUUCUUAGUUGGUGGGGUGACUUGUCUGCUUAAUGCGAUAACGAACGAGACCUUAGCUGCUAAAUAGCCCGCAUUGCUCCGGCAGUGCGCUGCUUCUUAGAGGGACUUUCGGCUCAA